GACGAACGCUGGCGGCGUGCUUAACACAUGCAAGUCGAACGGAAAGGCCCUGCUUUUGUGGGGUGCUCGAGUGGCGAACGGGUGAGUAACACGUGAGUAACCUGCCCUUGACUUUGGGAUAACUUCAGGAAACUGGGGCUAAUACCGGAUAGGAGCUCCUGCUGCAUGGUGGGGGUUGGAAAGUUUCGGCGGUUGGGGAUGGACUCGCGGCUUAUCAGCUUGUUGGUGGGGUAGUGGCUUACCAAGGCUUUGACGGGUAGCCGGCCUGAGAGGGUGACCGGCCACAUUGGGACUGAGAUACGGCCCAGACUCCUACGGGAGGCAGCAGUGGGGAAUAUUGCACAAUGGGCGGAAGCCUGAUGAAGCAACGCCGCGUGCGGGAUGCCGGCCUUCGGGUUGUAAACCGCUUUCGCCUGUGACGAAGCGUGAGUGACGGUAAUGGGUAAAGAAGCACCGGCUAACUACGUG
This 468-nucleotide ribosomal RNA is filed under the name uncultured bacterium. Its description in RNAcentral is "partial 16S ribosomal RNA". It matches the Rfam family "Bacterial small subunit ribosomal RNA", at positions 28 to 507 of the family's 1533-position model. The record is from RNAcentral.